RNAcentral lists this non-coding RNA (24 nucleotides) under Arabidopsis thaliana (thale cress). The record is from RNAcentral. Lineage: Eukaryota; Viridiplantae; Streptophyta; Magnoliopsida; Brassicales; Brassicaceae.
UGUUCUCACUUUCUCAGUUGGUAC